CAGAUGGAGAUGGAGAGUGAGGACCUUGUACCAUCACCACCUUUCCAUUUGAUGAAUCCAAAGGGCAUAAAGCUUUCUAGGAAAGGCAACAUAUCCCAAGGAACCCAGCUUCUGCAGCCAUCGUGAGGACUCAGCAGGAGGAUGGCCCCAUCCGUCCAACCCACAGAACCAACUCCAAUACUGGAAGUAUGUUGUUGUAGCAUGUGUAUGUGUCUGAGUCUCCUAACUUGGCCUGCUGUAACUAUAUAUGUGAGUGAGUGAGAUGUUAGUAACAUUCCUGAAAAGUGUUUUCAUCAUUCUAGAUUGCAGCCGGUAGCAACAAGAAGUGCUGCAAUGUGUGUGGACGCAAGAAGGACAGGAAGACACAGCACACAUGCAUCAAGUGCAAGAAAUACAUUUGCAAUACUCACACAGUAAAACUCUGUCCCUCGUGGUGUGUAGACCAGCCUUAAUUUGUGUUCAAUGGGGUUCAUUUAAAAUUUCCAUAAAAUACUGUAUAUAUAAACCCUUCUAAUUUCUUCAGUUCAAAGCAAUAAACAUUAAUAGUGAUAAAAACCUUGUUUCCUUUAUAUUUGUUGAAGAUAAACACAAUUUAUUCCACCCAUGUCUUGAUUAUAAAAAUAAAAAACGAUUAGCGCUUUAAUUGAUAAAUGUGAUCUAGCAGAGGU
This 668-nucleotide long non-coding RNA is filed under the name Salmo salar (Atlantic salmon). Its description in RNAcentral is "lncRNA (ENSSSAG00000089953.1)". Lineage: Eukaryota; Metazoa; Chordata; Actinopteri; Salmoniformes; Salmonidae. The record is from RNAcentral.